Molecule: ribosomal RNA, 474 nt
Filed under: uncultured bacterium
Lineage: Bacteria
Description: bacterial SSU rRNA
Rfam family: Bacterial small subunit ribosomal RNA
Source: RNAcentral
ACUCCUACGGGAGGCAGCAGUGGGGAAUAUUGCACAAUGGGGGAAACCCUGAUGCAGCCAUGCCGCGUGUGUGAAGAAGGCCUUCGGGUUGUAAAGCACUUUCAGUAGGGAGGAAGGUAGUGUAGUUAACACCUGCAUUAUUUGACGUUACCUACAGAAGAAGCACCGGCUAACUCCGUGCCAGCAGCCGCGGUAAUACGGAGGGUGCGAGCGUUAAUCGGAAUUACUGGGCGUAAAGCGCAUGCAGGCGGCCUGUUAAGUCAGAUGUGAAAGCCCGGGGCUUAACCUCGGAAUUGCAUUUGAAACUGGCAGGCUAGAGUCUUGUAGAGGGGGGUAGAAUUUCAGGUGUAGCGGUGAAAUGCGUAGAGAUCUGAAGGAAUACCAGUGGCGAAGGCGGCCCCCUGGACAAAGACUGACGCUCAGAUGCGAAAGCGUGGGGAGCAAACAGGAUUAGAUACCCUGGGGAGCACAGAG